GCCCAAGUAAGGAUAGCCACGAAGGUGGUCUAAUACCUUAUAGUAUCCAUCUCGUAUGGAUUAAAGCUUUAUGCGCUUUGGAGGGGCCUGCGUUUGAUUAGCUAGUUGGUGAGGUAAAAGCUCACCAAGGCGACGAUCAAUAGCUGGUUUGAGAGGAUGACCAGCCACACUGGGACUGAGAUACGGCCCAGACUCCUACGGGAGGCAGCAGUAAGGAAUCUUCCACAAUGGGGCAACCCUGAUGGAGCAAUACCGCGUGCAGGAUGAAGCGUUUCGGCGUGUAAACUGCUUUUAUCACCGAAGAUUAUGACUGUAGGUGAAGAAUAAGGACCGGCUAACUACGUG
This 345-nucleotide ribosomal RNA is filed under the name uncultured bacterium. Its description in RNAcentral is "bacterial SSU rRNA". It matches the Rfam family "Bacterial small subunit ribosomal RNA", at positions 128 to 507 of the family's 1533-position model. The record is from RNAcentral.